Molecule: ribosomal RNA, 250 nt
Filed under: uncultured bacterium
Lineage: Bacteria
Description: partial 16S ribosomal RNA
Rfam family: Bacterial small subunit ribosomal RNA
Source: RNAcentral
UACGGAGGGGGCUAGCGUUGUUCGGAAUUACUGGGCGUAAAGCGCACGUAGGCGGAUUGGUAAGUUGGGGGUGAAAUCCCGGGGCUCAACCCCGGAACUGCCUUCAAAACUCCCAGUCUGGAGUCCGAGAGAGGUGAGUGGAAUUCCGAGUGUAGAGGUGAAAUUCGUAGAUAUUCGGAGGAACACCAGUGGCGAAGGCGGCUCACUGGCUCGGUACUGACGCUGAGGUGCGAAAGCGUGGGGAGCAAAC